GAUGAACGCUGGCGGCGUGCCUAAUACAUGCAAGUCGAGCGAACAGACGAGGAGCUUGCUCCUCUGACGUUAGCGGCGGACGGGUGAGUAACACGUGGAUAACCUACCUAUAAGACUGGGAUAACUUCGGGAAACCGGAGCUACUACCGGAUAAUAUAUUGAACCGCAUGGUUCAAUAGUGAAAGACGGUUUUGCUGUCACUUAUAGAUGGAUCCGCGCCGCAUUAGCUAGUUGGUAAGGUAACGGCUUACCAAGGCGCCGAUGCGUAGCCGACCUGGGAGGGUGCUCGGCCACACUGGAUCUGAGACACGGUCCAGACUCCUACGGGAGGCAGCAGUAGGGAAUCUUCCGCACUGGGCGCCAGCCUGACGGAGCACCGCCGCGUGAGUGAUGAAGGUCUUCGGAUCGUAAAACUCUGUUAUUAGCGAAGAACAAAUGUGUAAGUAACUAUGCACGUCUUGCCGGUACCUAAUCAGAACGCCACGGCUAACUACGUG
This 497-nucleotide ribosomal RNA is filed under the name uncultured bacterium. RNAcentral's name for it is "partial 16S ribosomal RNA". It matches the Rfam family "Bacterial small subunit ribosomal RNA", at positions 28 to 507 of the family's 1533-position model. The record is from RNAcentral.